Long non-coding RNA from Gorilla gorilla gorilla (western lowland gorilla), 4327 nucleotides. RefSeq lists it as uncharacterized. The transcript has 2 exons. Lineage: Eukaryota; Metazoa; Chordata; Mammalia; Primates; Hominidae. The record is from RefSeq and is a predicted model, not a curated record.
UUUGCGCCAACCUGGAGCCCGGAGGAGCCGCAGAGGGCCGGGUCUGGGCCGGGCCAGGGCCGAGUGUGGGCCAGGAGCCGGGCCAGGAAGGGAGGGAGGUGGCACCAGUGGGGGCCGGGCCCAGGCCCAGUCGGGAGCCGAAGCUCAGUUCAAGCUCCUCCCGACUCUCUGUCCCGGACUGGGGAGGAACGAGUUGGAGUCGGGUCCAGCCGCCAGUUUGGGCUUGGGCUGCCCCGCCCCCGAUAUCUCGGCUGGGCUGGUCCCUCAGGCCUCGGCCGCGGCUUUUCAGGUGCUGGAGACUCAGCGGAGCUGCAAGCGGACGGAUGUCUUCCCAGCACCCACCGCCCCCUUCCGCCCACCUCAGGCAUGCAGACAUGGGAGUCCCACUGUAUGUCGCAGACUGAGGCCCCAGCCCCACUGAGGGCAAAAGGCACAUCUUUGCUUUGGGCCUCUCCUAUUCUCCAAUAGGAUUUUCCAGCUGGAAUGGAAUUCACUAGGUCAUUCACAUCAUCUCCCUGCCCUGUGCCUAAAUCAUUCUAACUACUUGAGAAUGGAUGAUAUAUUGAGGGCAUUCUCAAGAAGGUGAGUACAUAAUCUUUCUAUCCUUUACUCCUUUUCUUUAUUCAUCUUUAUAAGGGUAACUUCAGAGUUCUGAUGACACAGCAUCACCUUGGAUUCAAGAGCCAACUGGGAUGGAUUGUGAGAAGGAGCCAGGGUGCUCUGAUAGUGGCAAAAGAAGUCCAAAGACAGAGAAGGCUUUGGUUUUGUUACCCGCAAUCAGGAAGAGUCCUGAUAGGAACCCACAUUACUGGGAAAUGGAUUUGAAUGUCAACACCUUUAGAUGGCCAAAGUGGAAGCAUGGAGGGUAACGGAUAUUGGACAUAGCCUGAUUUCAGCUUGAGCCAGAAGGCUAUUCAUAAUAAUAGGUGCAUUAAAAACAAAUCAAUUGGCUAUGUGCAUGGAGCCUGCUUCCUGAAUGCCAAGGAAGCAGUCUGCUUAAUAGUUUGUCUAUUAUUAGAGCAGGCAUAGAGGGGGAAAGAUGACGGAAGCAGCAGAAGCAUUAUGGAAAAGAAAGAGAUAGAAAAUACUUAACCCUCUGAGGGUAGUAUAGAAGAGCAAAGCUUGAAGUGAAAGUAUGUAAUGUAUUGGUUUCUUGACCCUAUCCAAGGGAGAAAUUUAAUGAGUUUUAUUUUAGCCUUUUAUUAAUUCAUUUAAAAAACUCAUUUAAGAGAUAUUUAUUGAAAGCCAAUUAUGUGCUAAAUAUUGUGCUAAGAAUUUCCCCAUUCUGAAAAGAGGAACCCUUGUAAGACUGGAACAGAGGUGUCUUGGGUACAUGGUUAUGAUGCAGUAUAAAGAUGGGCUUUGCCCUUAUUACAUCUGAUUCUCUUCUGAUAGACUGACCUUGGGCAUAGAAUCAGCAUUAUUUGUUUUCGUAUCCUUAGCAUUUAACACGAUGCCUUAUACAAAGAAGGUGCUCAGUACGUAGAUAAAUAAAUAGAUGUCGCUACUUGAUGUAAUAAAGCCCCGGUUUCUUCAUUCAGAAACAAUACAGAUGAGGCCUAUCUUUUAGGUUUGUUGUGAGGAUUAGAAGUAAAGUAUGGAAAGCACCUAGUACAGCACCCAUCAUGUGCUCAAUAAAUGUUAGCAAUAAGACAGUUUGAGGAUUGCUUUUAUUGAAAAGAGAAAAGAAAACCUGAUAUGUUCUUUGGCAUUAGUCCAAUUCCAAAAUCUAAAAUAGCACAUCAGAGCUGGAAGGGACCUUCUACAAAGUCCAAACUCCUCAUUUUACAGAUGGGAAAACUGAAGCCUAAAGAGGGAAAAGGAUUUACUUAAUGUUACAUCUAAAUUAUCUACACUUUUCCUUGUAAUUACCUCAAAUCAUUGUGGAAGGUGAUAUAACAUACAAACAUACAUAUGAGCUAGGGACAUCAUUUAAUAAACGAGGAAAUUGACAUGGAAAAAAGUUAAAUAAUUUGCCCAAGGACCUAUGAUUCACACUAUAGCAGUCUGGCUUCAGAGUCUGUGAUUUUAACCGUUAUACUUCUCUAUUACAGCACUUAUAAAAUUAUAUUAAAAUGACCCAUUUGACAUGUCUCCCCACUAGAACUUAAGCUCCUUGAGGGCAGGAAGUGUGUGAUUUCCACUGUGGAUAGUUAUUUAUUUAUUUAACAAAUAUGUAUUGGGCAACUAUUAUACACCAGGACUUGCUAGCCCCAGAGAGCAGGCCUUAUCUUUGAAGCCAGAUUAUCUAGCUCUGUAAUGCUAUUGGUGUUCAUUUUCCUUCUGUUAUCGCCUUCUCUUUACUAAUGUCUUAUUGAGCGUUUCAGCUUAGUCUUAUCUGUUCUAAGGAGCACGAGGUUCUGUGCCCAUGCCUGGACCAGGCUGUUAAAGGAGAAUAGCCAGUGAGAAACUUCAUGGGGAAAGUGAAGUGCCAGAGAGAUGAUAAAAUCUGGAGUUCCUCACCAUUUGGAGAGGUUUCUUUUAGUAAAAGUUUUGGGGUAUUGCAUUUGGCAGGAUUUUUUUUUAAUUCAAUUUAGAAAAUGUCCUGGCCUUACAGUACCCUUUUGCCUAUCUCCCACUCAUUUGGCCUUCUAAGAAGUCACAGUCUACCUCUACCUCUACCUCUACCUCUACCUCUACCUCUACCUCUACCUAUACCUAUACCUACCUCUACCUCUACCCUCUUUCCACGGUCUCCCUCUGAUGCCGAGCCGAAGCUGUACUGUACUGCUGCCAUCGCGGCUUACUGCAACCUCCCUGCCUGAUUCUCCUGCCUCAGCUUGCCGAGCGCCUGUGAUUGCAGGCGCGCGCCGCCACACCUGACUGGUUUUCGUAUUUUUUUGGUGGAGACGGGGUUUCGCUGUGUUGGCCGGGCUGGUCUCCAGCUCCUAACCGCAAGUGAUCUGCCAGCCUCGGCCUCCCAAGGUGCCGGGAUUACAGACGGAGUCUCGUUCACUCAGUGCUCAAUGUUGCCCAGGCUGGAGUGCAGUGGCGUGAUCUCGGCUAGCUACAACCUCCACCUCCCAGCAGCCUGCCUUGGCCUCCCAAAGUGCCGAGAUUACAGCCUCUGCCCAGCCGCCACCCCGUCUGGGAAGUGAGGAGCUUCUCUGCCUGGCCGCCCAUCGUCUGGGAUGUGAGGAGCCCCUCUGCCCGGCCACCCAGUCUGGGAAGUGAGGAGCGCCUCUUCCCGGCUGCCAUCCCAUCUAGGAAGUGAAGAGCAUCUCUGCCCGGCCGCCCAUCGUCUGAGAUGUGGGGAACGCCUCUGCCCCGCCACCCCGUCUGGGAUGUGAGGAGUGCCUCUGCCCCGCCGCCCCAUCUGGGAUGUGAGGAGCGCCUCUGCCCGGCCGCGACCCCAUCUGGGAGGUGAGGAGCGUCUCUGCCUGGCCUCCCCCUCUGAGAAGUGAGGAGCCCCUCCGCCUGGCAGCCACCCCUCUGAGAAGUGAGGAGCCCCUCCGCCCGGCAGCCACCCCAUCUGGGAAGCCAGGAGCAUCUCCGCCCGGCAGCCACCCUGUCCGGGAGGGAGGUGGGGGGCAGCCCCCACCCGGCCAGCUGCCCCAUCCCGGAGGGAGGUGGGGGGCGCAUCUGCCCGGCCGCCCCUUCUGGGAAGUGAGGAGCCCCUCUGCCCGGCCACCACCCCAUCUGGGAGGUGUACUCAACAGCUCAUUGAGAACGGGCCAUGAUGACGAUGGCGGUUUUGCGGAAUAGAAAAGGGGGAAAGGUGGGGAAAAGAUAGAGAAAUCAGAUUGUUGCUGUGUCUGUGUAGAAAGAAGUAGACAUGGGAGACUUCACUUUGUUCUGUACUAAGAAAAUUCUUCUGCCUUGGGAUGCUGUUGAUCUAUGAUCUUACCCCCAACCAUGUGCUCUCUGAAACAUGUGCUGUGUCCACUCAGGGUUAAAUGGAUUAAGGGCGGUGCAAGAUGUGCUUUGUUAAACAGAUGCUUGAAGGCAGCAUGCUCGUUAAGAGUCAUCACCACUCCCUAAUCUCAAGUACCCAGGGACACAAACACUGCAGAAGGCUGCAGGGUCCUCUGCCUAGGAAAACCAGAGACCUUUGUUCACUUGUUUAUCUGCUGACCUUCCCUCCACUAUUGUCCUAUGACCCUGCCAAAUCCCCCUCUGCGAGAAACACCCAAGAAUGAUCAAAAAAAGAAAGAAAACCUCUGUGCUUUGGGCUUUACCACUUAUUGGGUUUGUGGCUUUUUGCAAGUUAUAUAACAUGUCUGUGGUGCAAUUAUCUCAUAUGUAAUCAUAAUUGUACUUCACACAAUUGUCAUCGAGAUUUUCUGAGAUAAAUGAUAAUAAUAAUUGCUAACACUUCCUGGGCACU